GUAGGGAAUAUUGGACAAUGGGCGAAAGCCUGAUCCAGCCAUGCCGCGUGAUAGAUGAAGGCCCUCUGGGUUGUAAAUAUCUUUUAUCUGGGAAGAAACUCCUCUAUUCUUAGAGGCCUGACGGUACCAGAGGAAUAAGCACCGGCUAACUCCGUGCCAGCAGCCGCGGUAAUACGGAGGGUGCAAGCGUUAUCCGGAUUCACUGGGUUUAAAGGGUGCGUAGGCGGGUUGAUAAGUCAGUGGUGAAAGCUCCGGGCUUAAUUUGGAAACUGCCAUUGAUACUGUCAGUGUUGAAUGUCGUAGAAGUAAGCGGAAUGUUGCAUGUAGCGGUGAAAUGCUUAGAUAUGUUACAGAACACCAAUUGCGAAGGCAGCUUACUAUGCGAUAAUUGACGCUGAGGCACGAAAGCGUGGGGAGCAAACAGGAUUAGAAACCCUGGUAGUCC
This 445-nucleotide ribosomal RNA is filed under the name uncultured bacterium. Its description in RNAcentral is "partial 16S ribosomal RNA". It matches the Rfam family "Bacterial small subunit ribosomal RNA", at positions 354 to 796 of the family's 1533-position model. The record is from RNAcentral.